Molecule: ribosomal RNA, 1573 nt
Filed under: Lagostrophus fasciatus (banded hare-wallaby)
Lineage: Eukaryota; Metazoa; Chordata; Mammalia; Diprotodontia; Macropodidae
Description: 16S ribosomal RNA
Rfam family: Bacterial large subunit ribosomal RNA
Source: RNAcentral
GCUAACCUAAGCCCGCACAACUAUUAAAUUAACUAUUUUCAUUACUAAUCUAAACCAUUUACCCUAUCAUAGUAUAGGCGAUAGAACAGAUACCCAGGCGCAAUAACGCACAGUACCGUAAGGGAAACAUGAAAGACCAGUUCAAAGCACAACAAAGCAAAGACUAAAACCUUCUACCUUUUGCAUAAUGAUUUAGCAAGUCAAACCGGACAAAAAGAAUUAAGCCCGCCUCCCCGAAAUCAAGUGAGCUACUAUAAAACAGCAUAUAGAGCCAACUCAUCUAUGUAGCAAAAUAGUGAGAAGAUUUUAUAGUAGAGGUGAAAAGCCUACCGAACUUGAUGAUAGCUGGUUGUCCAAAAAAUGAAUUUCAGUUCAACUUUAAAUUUGAUUAAAUUAUAUGUUAAACAUAACUUAAAUUUAAAAGCUAAUCAAAAGGGGGACAACUCUUUUGACUAUGUAAACAAACUUUAUUAGAGGAUAAUGAAUAUUUAAAACCAUUGUAGGCCCAAAAGCAGCCACCAAUUAAGAAAGCGUUAAAGCUCAAACCACUCAUAAAAUUUUAAUUCCAAAAAUUAUACCAAAAUCCCUAACCUAGACUAUUGGACGAUUCUAUAAUACUAUAGAAGACAUAAUGCUAAAAUUAGUAACAAGAAAUAUUUCUCCUAGCACAAACCUACAUUAGCAACGGAACAUCCACUAACAAUUAACAAACUAAUAAUAUCAACCAAACAACUAGUAAGAUUCUUAUAUCCAUUGUUAACCCGACACAGGAGUGCAAGCAGGAAAGAUUAAAAAGAAUAAAAGGAACUCGGCAAACACAAACCCCGCCUGUUUACCAAAAACAUCACCUCUAGCAUGACAAAUAUUAGAGGCAACGCCUGCCCAGUGAGCUCACACUUCAACGGCCGCGGUAUCCUGACCGUGCAAAGGUAGCAUAAUCACUUGUCUCUUAAUUAGGGACUUGUAUGAAUGGCAUCACGAGGGUUUAACUGUCUCUUAUUCUCAAUCAGUGAAAUUGACCUUCCCGUGCAGAGGCGGGAAUACCCAUACAAGACGAGAAGACCCUGCGGAGCUUAAGAUUCAUAGUCUAACUCAACCAAUUUCACCCAAUACAAGGAACAAAAACAGACCCACUAGACUAUUAACCUUUGGUUGGGGUGACCUCGGAGUAUAGAACAACCUCCGAAUGAUUAAGCCAAGAUCUACUAAUCUUAGCGUAAUAAUACCAGUAAUUGACCCAUCUAUUGAUCAACGGAACAAGUUACCCCCAGGGAUAACAGCGCAAUCCUAUUUAAGAGCCCAUAUCGACAAUUAGGGUUUACGACCUCGAUGUUGGAUCAGGACAUCCAAAUGGUGCAGCCGCUAUUAAUGGUUCGUUUGUUCAACGAUUAAAGUCCUACGUGAUCUGAGUUCAGACCGGAGAAAUCCAGGUCGGUUUCUAUCUGUACAUUAAUUUCUCCCAGUACGAAAGGAUAAGAGAAAUAAGGCCUAUACCACACAGCAAGCCUUAGAGACAAGAUAUGAACUAAUCUUAAUAUCAUAACUCAAUCUAUCCUCCACUCUAGAAAAGAGC